ACCCUACAGUUAUGCACUGCCAAUAAGUGAAAAGGUCAAGAGAAGCAGUAGUUCAGUGGCUGAAUUUUUCUGAAGUGCUUUACAGCAGGGAAGGUGGGGAAACCUCUUAAAUAAAGUGGUGUCUUAUUCAAUCCUGGAGCACAGGCCAAGGGUUUUAAUGCAAAAUACCAGAAAAAAAAGUCUGCAACAUCUCCUGUGAGUGGGGGAAGAAAAUAAGAUUAACAAUUGCAUCUUGAAACACUCAUAAUUUGAGGUCUCUGUUUUACUAACAUUUGAAACCAGUCUCUCUGUGCCUGCUUGGGCCCUGCAAUUGGCAAAAGUAAUUUUUCAGCCACAGAUAGAACAAGGAAUGAAUCAUUGCUUUCUGCC
This 369-nucleotide long non-coding RNA is filed under the name Serinus canaria (Common canary). Its description in RNAcentral is "lncRNA (ENSSCAG00000000548.1)". Lineage: Eukaryota; Metazoa; Chordata; Aves; Passeriformes; Fringillidae. The record is from RNAcentral.